Molecule: ribosomal RNA, 484 nt
Filed under: uncultured bacterium
Lineage: Bacteria
Description: partial 16S ribosomal RNA
Rfam family: Bacterial small subunit ribosomal RNA
Source: RNAcentral
AUUGAACGCUGGCGGCAGGCCUAACACAUGCCAGUCGAGCGGAUGAAGGGAGCUUGCUCCUGGAUUCAGCGGCGGACGGGUGUGUAAUGCCUAGGAAUCUGCCUGGUAGUGGGGGAUAACGUCCGGAAACGGGCGCUAAUACCGCCUACGUCCUGAGGGUGAAAGUGGGGGAUCUUCGGACCUCUCGCUAUCAGAUGAGCCUAGGUCGGAUUAGCUAGUUGGUGGGGUAAAGGCCUACCAAGGCGACGAUCCGUAACUGGUCUGAGAGUAUGAUCAGUCACAUUGGAACUGAGACACGGUCCAGACUCCUACGGGAGGGAGCAGUGGGGAAUAUUGGACAAUGGGCGAAAGCCUGAUACAGCCAUGCCGCGUGUGUGAAGAAGGUCUUCGGAUUGUAAAGCACUUUAAGUGGGGAGGAAGGGCAGUAAGAUAAUACCUUGCUGUAUUGACGUUACCAACAGAAUAAGCACCGGCUAACUUCGUG